GACAGAGGAGGCGAGCGUUAUCCGGAGUCAUUGGGCGUAAAGGGUACGUAGGCGGCUAGUCAAGUCUGAGGUUAAAGACCACAGCUUAACUGUGGAAAGGCCUUGGAAACUGACUGGCUAGAGUGGGGCAGGGGUUGCGGGAAUUCCGGUGUAGCGGUGAAAUGCGUAGAUAUCGGGAAGAACACCUGAGGCGAAAGCGCGCAACUGGGCCCUGACUGACGCUGAGGUACGAAAGCUAGGGGAGCGAAUGGG
Molecule: ribosomal RNA, 252 nt
Filed under: uncultured bacterium
Lineage: Bacteria
Description: partial 16S ribosomal RNA
Rfam family: Bacterial small subunit ribosomal RNA
Source: RNAcentral